CACAAUACAAUAAAAAACCUUUAUUGGCAUUUCAAGUUAAGACAUUCCAAAAUGGCUUGAGAUACAAAGUCUUUCUUCUUCCUGUUUCCUGUUUCCAAGAGAUUUGAAUGGGGAAAUCCUUUCGAUUCUUCAAUAAUAAGAGGCAGUGGGGUGAGGGAGGCCAGGGCCACAUCCACACCAUUUAACGCGCUAUGAAGCCGCUUUAAACACUCAUGGCUAAACACCCCAAAGACUCUGGGAGCUAUAGUUGGAAAGGGUGCCAAGAGUUGUUAGGGACCCGUUCCCUGCCAAGAAGGGAACCCUACCUCUACCCCUACCCCUGACGCUCACCCUAACUCUAGCCCUAACACUAACCUUUAAGCCUUAACUAGAGCUACAAUUCCCAGAGUUCCCUGCCAAGGGAACCCCAACCCUACCCCUGCCAAGAAGGGAACCCUACCUCUACAACUACCCCUACCCCUGACGCUCACCCUAACUCUAGCCCUAACACUAACCUUUAAGCCUUAACUAGAGCUACAAUUCCCAGAGUUCCCUGGCAAAAAGGGAACCCUAACCCUAAUCCUAACCCUGCCCCCUAACUAGAGCUGCCAUUCCCAGGUUCCCUGCCAGAGGAACCCAGCCCUACCCCUGCCCCUGACGCUAACCGUUCUUCUAUCCCUUUGCCUUAAUUAGAGCUACAAUUCCCAGGGUUCCCUGGCAAGAAGGGAACCCCAACCCUACCCCUGCUCCUGACGCUAACCCUAACUCUAACCCUUAACUAGAGCUACAAUUCCCAGAGUUCCCUGGCAAGAAGGAACCCUACCCCUACCCCAACCCCUACCCUACCCCUAGUCCUAAUACUUAACCACCAUAACAAGUCUCCGUCCCCUUAACCACCUACAGUUCCCAGAAUCCCUGAGGGGAAGCCAUUCCUGUUCAAAGUGUCUUCAUAGACCUUUCAGUGGACGGUGCGCCUAAUGUGGCCUAAUGUUUCCUCCCUCAUUUUCUUCUCUCUCCCCACUGCCCCAUCACUUGCAAUGCAGCAGGUGUCCGCCUGCAGUCUCCCUUCAAAGCUCCUUCUCUCAGGUAUGGCCACGGCCUUGUCCAUUGCUCGCUGCCAGUAUUUCACGUUCACUUCUUCCUGUUUCCUGUUUCCUGUUUCCAAGAGAUUUGAAUGGGGAAAUCCUUUCGAUUCUUCAAUAAGAGGCAGUGGGGUGAGGAAGCCAGGACCACAUCCACACCAUUUAACGCGCUAUGAAGCCACUUUAAACACUCAUGGCUAAACACCCCCAAAGACUCUGGGAGCUAUAGUUGGAAAAGGGUGCCAAGAGUUGUUAGGGGACCCCGUUCCCUGCCAAGAAGGGAACCCUAUCUCUACCCCUACCCCUACCCCUGACGCUCACCCUAACUCUAGCCCUAACACUAACCUUUAAGCCUUAACUAGAGCUACAAUUCCCAGAGUUCCCUGGCAAAAAGGGAACCCUAGCCCUAAUCCUAACCCCUGCCCCUAACUAGAGCUACAAUUCCCAGAGUUCCCUGCCAAGGGAACCCCAGCCCUACCCCUGCCCCUGGCGCUAACCCUAAUUCCUAACCCUUAGCCUUAAUUAGAGCUACAAUUCCCAGGGUUCCCUGGCAAGAGGAACCCUAACCCUAACCCUAACCCUGCCCUAACUAGAGCUACAAUUCCCAGAGUUCCCUGGCAAAAGGGAACCCCAGCCCUACCCCCUGCUCCUGGCGCUAACCCUAACUCUAACCCGUAACUAGAGCUACAAUUCCCUGAGUUCCCUGGCAGAAGGAACCCUACCCCUACCCCUACCCUACCCCUACCCUACCCCUACCCCAACCCCUACCCUACCCCUAGUCCUAAUACUUAACCACCAUAACAAGUCUCCGUCCCCUAACCACCUACAGUUCCCAGAAUCCCUGAGGGGAAGCCAUUCCUGUUUAAAGCAUCUUCAUAGCACUUUCAAUGGACGGUGCGCCUAAUGUAGCCUAAUGUUUCCUCCCUCAUUUCUUCUCUCUCCCCACUGCCCCAUCACUUGCAAUGCAGCAGGUGUCCGCCUGCAGUCUCCCUUCAAGGCUCCUUCUCUCAGGUAUGGCCACGGCCUUGUCCAUUGCUCACUGCCAGUAUUUCACGUUCACUUCUCCAAUGUAAAUAGGG
Molecule: long non-coding RNA, 2140 nt
Filed under: Podarcis lilfordi (Lilford's wall lizard)
Lineage: Eukaryota; Metazoa; Chordata; Lepidosauria; Squamata; Lacertidae
Source: RNAcentral